GACGAACGCUGGCGGCAUGCCUAACACAUGCAAGUCGAACGGAGAUUAUUUCGGUAAUCUUAGUGGCGAACGGGUGAGUAACGCGUGGGCAACCUGCCCUCUAGAUGGGGACAACAUCCCGAAAGGGGUGCUAAUACCGAAUGUGACAGCAAUCUCGCAUGAGGAUGCUGUGAAAGAUGGCCUCUAUUUAUAAGCUAUCGCUAGAGGAUGGGCCUGCGUCUGAUUAGCUAGUUGGUGGGGUAACGGCCUACCAAGGCGAUGAUCAGUAGCCGGUCUGAGAGGAUGAACGGCCACAAUGGGACUGAGACACGGCCCAGACUCCUACGGGAGGCAGCAGUGGGGAAUCUUCCGCAAUGGGCGAAAGCCUGACGGAGCAAUGCCGCGUGAGUGAUGAAGGAAUUCGUUCCGUAAAGCUCUUUUGUUUAUGACGAAUGUGCAGAUUGUGAACAAUGAUCUGUAAUGACGGUAGUAAACGAAUAAGCCACGGCUAACUACGUG
RNAcentral lists this ribosomal RNA (498 nucleotides) under uncultured bacterium. RNAcentral's name for it is "partial 16S ribosomal RNA". It matches the Rfam family "Bacterial small subunit ribosomal RNA", at positions 28 to 507 of the family's 1533-position model. The record is from RNAcentral.